GACUGGUCUGAAGGUGAUGAAUUAUCUCAAGUCACUGUCAUAGUUCAAACUCCUUGCUGUGUAAUCAUAAGUGUACUAGACUAGUCUUAA
RNAcentral lists this small RNA (90 nucleotides) under Otolemur garnettii (small-eared galago). Its description in RNAcentral is "Y RNA (ENSOGAG00000022291.1)". Lineage: Eukaryota; Metazoa; Chordata; Mammalia; Primates; Galagidae. The record is from RNAcentral.